CCCUUAUCCAACAAGAACAAGAACAAGAAUUUGACUUCAAGAGUUACACAACUGGCUACUCACUUUGGUACACAUUAUAAUAUGGCAGUGUAAGAGCAGAGGAAUUGUGUCAUCUGGAAAUCCUGGACUACUGCUUGAAAUUGAAUGGAGAUCAUGCAUGAGUUGCAGCCAGAGCGUCCCUCGGGCGCCGACGAGCCCGACCUGCUGGAGCUGACCGCGCAGAUGGGCGAUGUCCGGAUCGGCGGCCGGCCCGUGUCGGCGCUGUUGGC
RNAcentral lists this long non-coding RNA (269 nucleotides) under Amphibalanus amphitrite. Its description in RNAcentral is "uncharacterized LOC122376363, transcript variant X2". Lineage: Eukaryota; Metazoa; Arthropoda; Thecostraca; Balanomorpha; Balanidae. The record is from RNAcentral.